GAUGCACUUCCUUCCCUUUCAGGAAGAGAGCACAGGGAGUUAAGGAAAAGAUGCCAAGAGCCAUAGCUUUUUUUUUGGACUGAUGUGAACCUACUGAGCAGGGUUAGAGGACAUGGUAAAGUGUCUGGAGCUCAGUCUAUGCUAAUGUCCCUACUGCUGCUGUUGUUUGGAGGAAACAACUGGAGACGAAUUACUGGUCUUAACUUCCUAAUUAAGGAAGAGCUGCAGGGAAUACAUCAUGGGCAGUAGGAAAAAGACUGAAGAAAAA
Molecule: long non-coding RNA, 268 nt
Organism: Chiroxiphia lanceolata (lance-tailed manakin)
Lineage: Eukaryota; Metazoa; Chordata; Aves; Passeriformes; Pipridae
Exons: 2
Source: RefSeq, a predicted model, not a curated record